UUGUUUUUUUCUCUCGCCCCGCCUG
Molecule: microRNA, 25 nt
Filed under: Canis lupus familiaris (dog)
Lineage: Eukaryota; Metazoa; Chordata; Mammalia; Carnivora; Canidae
Description: cfa-miR-8843
Source: miRBase by way of RNAcentral